This 253-nucleotide ribosomal RNA is filed under the name uncultured bacterium. RNAcentral's name for it is "partial 16S ribosomal RNA". It matches the Rfam family "Bacterial small subunit ribosomal RNA", at positions 524 to 776 of the family's 1533-position model. The record is from RNAcentral.
UACAGAGGUCUCAAGCGUUGUUCGGAUUCAUUGGGCGUAAAGGGUGCGUAGGCGGCGCGGUAAGUCGGGUGUGAAAUCUUGGAGCUUAACUCCGAAACUGCAUUCGAUACUGCCGUGCUUGAGGACUGGAGAGGAGACUGGAAUUUACGGUGUAGCGGUGAAAUGCGUAGAUAUCUGGAGGAACACCGGUGGCGAAGGCGACUACCUGGCCUGUUCUUGACGCUGAGGCGCGAAAGCUAGGGGAGCAAACGGG